ACGAACGCUGGCGGCGUGCUUCACACAUGCAAGUCGAACGAAAAGAGGGAAAGAGCUUGCUCUUUCCGGAAUUGAGUGGCAAACGGGUGAGUAACACGUAAACAACCUGCCUUCAGGAUGGGGACAACAGACGGAAACGACUGCUAAUACCGAAUAAGUUCCAAGAGCCGCAUGGCCCAUGGAAGAAAAGGUGGCCUCUACCUGUAAGCUAUCGCCUGAAGAGGGGUUUGCGUCUGAUUAGCUGGUUGGAGGGGUAACGGCCCACCAAGGCGACGAUCAGUAGCCGGUCUGAGAGGAUGAACGGCCACACUGGAACUGAGACACGGUCCAGACUCCUACGGGAGGCAGCAGUGGGGAAUCUUCCGCAAUGGGCGAAAGCCUGACGGAGCAACGCCGCGUGAGUGAUGACGGCCUUCGGGUUGUAAAACUCUGUGAUCCGGGACGAAAAGGCAGAGUGCGAAGAACAAACUGCAUUGACGGUACCGGAAAAGCAAGCCACGGCUAACUACGUG
This 512-nucleotide ribosomal RNA is filed under the name uncultured bacterium. RNAcentral's name for it is "partial 16S ribosomal RNA". It matches the Rfam family "Bacterial small subunit ribosomal RNA", at positions 30 to 507 of the family's 1533-position model. The record is from RNAcentral.